This is a long non-coding RNA of Dicentrarchus labrax (European seabass), 828 nucleotides long. RefSeq lists it as uncharacterized. Lineage: Eukaryota; Metazoa; Chordata; Actinopteri; Moronidae. The transcript has 3 exons. The record is from RefSeq and is a predicted model, not a curated record.
GCUAGCGAUUAGCGGUUAAAUAGCGGUUAGCACGUAGACAUGGUAUUAACAUAUGGGCCAGAGCAAGGCACAAUCAAAAUUGCUUUAGGAAUUUUCUAGUUAUAAUAUUUUAUUCUUCCGUACGUUUUUCGGCGCGCUUCUUCUCCCGGAGCUUUUGUCGCACAUACACAAAAAAGGUAUCAAAACGUGCGGCUCGGCCGGGAAUCGAGUGCUAUGACUUUUCUAAGAAUUUCGCCAAACGGUUUGCCGGUAAAUCGCCAAAAACCGGUCCAAAAAAUGAAUGGGUGUGUAUUGCGAGAACCUCCAACCGAAAAAAACUGCCAGAGUGCGUGACAUCAUCGCUAGAGUGUGGGGAGAGAGAAAAAUUUGUCGAAAAAUAAAUUUGUAAACUGCUGUCAUGGCCACAAAUUUCACUCUACAGAAAUAAUUUAUAGAUAGAAACGUAGGUAAAUCCGUUGGGGUCGCAGUGAUACUACUGCUGAAGCUGUCAGACAAAUAGUUUUGGCGGGAGACGCACUGAUGCGCCAGCAACGCCCUCUCACGGCCCCAUCUACUCCCAUGUUAAAAUGGAGAGGAGGAUUCUUGAAACACGCUCGUUGAACCUCUUCUCUCUCAAUCUCCCCAGGUCACAUUUUUUAACUUUAGCCACUGAAACUCGGCAGUGCUAUAGUCAACAAGAUGACGACGCUCACGGUCUUUUCGGUUUUCAUUUCGGUCGUUCCUGGCCAUGCUUUUGAGGGGAUUCAUUUUAAAUGUUUUCUGUCUCUCUGAGGAGUUAGAGACAGAGAGAGAGCGUGCGCAGCUGCUGUGGGCUCCCCUGAUUGCCAU